CGGGAAUUUUGGGCAAUGGGCGAAAGCCUGACCCAGCAACGCCGCGUGAGGGAUGAAGUAUUUCGGUAUGUAAACCUCGAAAGAAUGGGAAGAAUAAAUGACGGUACCAUUUAUAAGCUCCGGCUAACUACGUGCCAGCAGCCGCGGUAAUACGUAGGGAGCAAGCGUUGUUCGGAUUUACUGGGCGUAAAGGGCGCGUAGGCGGCGCGGUAAGUCACUUGUGAAAUCUCCGGGCUUAACCCGGAAACUGCCGUUGAUACUAUUUGUCUUGAAUAUUGUGGAGGUAAGCGGAAUAUGUCAUGUAGCGGUGAAAUGCUUAGAUAUGACAUAGAACACCAAUUGCGAAGGCAGCUUACUACACAAUCAUUGACGCUGAGGCACGAAAGCGUGGGGAUCAAACA
This 401-nucleotide ribosomal RNA is filed under the name uncultured bacterium. RNAcentral's name for it is "bacterial SSU rRNA". It matches the Rfam family "Bacterial small subunit ribosomal RNA", at positions 356 to 774 of the family's 1533-position model. The record is from RNAcentral.